UGGGGAAUUUUGGACAAUGGACGCAAGUCUGAUCCAGCCAUGCCGCGUGCGGGAAGAAGGCCUUCGGGUUGUAAACCGCUUUUGUCAGGGAAGAAAAGGCUCCGGAUAAUACCUGGGGCUCAUGACGGUACCUGAAGAAUAAGCACCGGCUAACUACGUGCCAGCAGCCGCGGUAAUACGUAGGGUGCGAGCGUUAAUCGGAAUUACUGGGCGUAAAGCGUGCGCAGGCGGUUUUGUAAGACAGAGGCGAAAUCCCCGGGCUCAACCUGGGAAUUGCCUUUGUGACUGCAAGGCUUGAGUGCGGCAGAGGGGGAUGGAAUUCCGCGUGUAGCAGUGAAAUGCGUAGAUAUGCGGAGGAACACCGAUGGCGAAGGCAAUCCCCUGGGCCUGUACUGACGCUCAUGCACGAAAGCGUGGGGAGCAAACA
This 427-nucleotide ribosomal RNA is filed under the name uncultured bacterium. RNAcentral's name for it is "bacterial SSU rRNA". It matches the Rfam family "Bacterial small subunit ribosomal RNA", at positions 355 to 774 of the family's 1533-position model. The record is from RNAcentral.